CCUACGGGUGACAGCCGUGAGGAAUAUUGGUCAAUGGACGAGAGUCUGAACCAGCCAAGUAGCGUGAAGGAUGACUGCCCUAUGGGUUGUAAACUUCUUUUAUAUGGGAAUAAAACGUUCCACGUGUGGGAUUUUGUAUGUACCAUAUGAAUAAGGAUCGGCUAACUCCGUGCCAGCAGCCGCGGUAAUACGGAGGAUCCGAGCGUUAUCCGGAUUUAUUGGGUUUAAAGGGAGCGUAGGUGGAUUGUUAAGUCAGUUGUGAAAGUUUGCGGCUCAACCGUAAAAUUGCAGUUGAAACUGGCAGUCUUGAGUACAGUAGAGGUGGGCGGAAUUCGUGGUGUAGCGGUGAAAUGCUUAGAUAUCACGAAGAACUCCGAUUGCGAAGGCAGUUCACUGGACUGCAACUGACACUGAGGCUCGAAAGUGUGGGUAUCAAACAGGAUUAGAUACCCGUGUAGUC
Molecule: ribosomal RNA, 460 nt
Filed under: uncultured bacterium
Lineage: Bacteria
Description: partial 16S ribosomal RNA
Rfam family: Bacterial small subunit ribosomal RNA
Source: RNAcentral